Molecule: ribosomal RNA, 460 nt
Filed under: uncultured bacterium
Lineage: Bacteria
Description: partial 16S ribosomal RNA
Rfam family: Bacterial small subunit ribosomal RNA
Source: RNAcentral
CCUACGGGUGGCAGCAGUGAGGAAUAUUGGUCAAUGGGCGUAAGCCUGAACCAGCCAAGCCGCGUGAGGGAUGAAGGUUCUAUGGAUCGUAAACCUCUUUUAUAAGGGAGUAAAGAGCGGGACGUGUCCCGGCUUGUAUGUACAUUAUGAAUAAGGAUCGGCUAACUCCGUGCCAGCAGCCGCGGUAAUACGGAGGAUCCGAGCGUUAUCCGGAUUUAUUGGGUUUAAAGGGUGCGUAGGCGGCCUGUUAAGUCAGCGGUGAAAGACCGUGGCUCAACCAUGGAAGUGACGUUGAUACUGGGAAACUAGAGUGUAGUUGCGGCAGGCGGAAUGCGUGGUGUAGCGGUGAAAUGCUUAGAGAUCACGCAGAACACCGAUUGCGAAGGCAGCUUGCCAAGCCAUAACUGACGCUGAUGCACGAAAGCGUGGGUAUCAAACAGGAUUAGAUACCCGAGUAGUC